UCGAGCGGACAGAUGGGAGCUUGCUCCCUGAUGUUAGCGGCGGACGGGUGAGUAACACGUGGGUAACCUGCCUGUAAGACUGGGAUAACUCCGGGAACCGGGGCUAAUACCGGAUGGUUGUUGAACCGCAUGGUUCAAACAUAAAAGGUGGCUUCGGCUACCACUUACAGAUGGACCCGCGGCGCAUUAGCUAGUUGGUGAGGUAAUGGCUCACCAAGGCAACGAUGCGUAGCCGACCUGAGAGGGUGAUCGGCCACACUGGGACUGAGACACGGCCCAGACUCCUACGGAGGCAGCAGUAGAAUCUUCCGCAAUGGACGAGUCUGACGGAGCAACGCCGCGUGAGUGAUGAAGGUUCGGAUCGUAAAGCUCUGUUGUUAGGGAAGAACAAGUACCGUUCGAAUAGCGGUACCUUGACGGUACCUAACCAGAAAGCCACGGCUAACUACGUGCCAGCAGCCGCGGUAAUACGUAGGUGGCAAGCGUUGUCCGGAAUUAUUGGGCGUAAAGGGCUCGCAGGCGGUUUCUUAAGUCUGAUGUGAAAGCGGCUCAACCGAGUCAUUGGAAACUGGGGAACUUGAGUGCAGAAGAGGAGAGUGGAAUUCCACGUGUAGCGGUGAAAUGCGUAGAGAUGUGGAGGAACACCAGUGGCGAAGGCGACUCUCUGGUCUGUAACUGACGCUGAGGAGCGAAAGCGUGGGGAGCGAACAGGAUUAGAUACCCUGGUAGUCCACGCCGUACGAUGAGUGCUAAGUGUUAGUCCGCUUAGUGCUGCAGCUAACGCAUUAAGCACUCCGCCUGGGGAGUACGGUCGCAAGACUGAAACUCAAAGGAAUUGACGGGGGCCCGCACAAGCGGUGGAGCAUGUGGUUUAAUUCGAAGCAACGCAAGAACCUUACCAGGUCUUGACAUCCUCUGACAUCCUAGAGAUAGG
Molecule: ribosomal RNA, 934 nt
Filed under: Bacillus sp. (in: firmicutes)
Lineage: Bacteria; Bacillati; Bacillota; Bacilli; Caryophanales; Bacillaceae
Description: bacterial SSU rRNA
Rfam family: Bacterial small subunit ribosomal RNA
Source: RNAcentral